CCCUUCCUGCGCCGCUGCCUACCCGGGAGGGAACGAGGCCCGGCGCAAAGUUUGGUGUAAGAGGGGAAGGAGUUUUUCCAGAGGGGCUUCGGCAAUCCGGGCGGACCUGGGAGGGCGGUUUGCUUUUCUUUGGAGCGCGAGACAGGCCUCCCAUCCGGAGCCCCAGCUCGCUGGGGGCUCACUCGGCUGGGAUUGGCCUGAUUCCCCUCCCCUGCCUGCCCUCCACCCCCAGGAUUGUGAAUUCGCCUCCCAGCUUUUCCUCCUCGCACCAACUCUGGUACCCAGGUGUCUGCCGGGGACCUUCCUUCCCUGAGCCUGGCCGUGCCCGGCGCUCAAACUUGGCCCCAACUCUUUGUCCGUCUCUCGGGCGCCCGUGCGGGGAAGGGACCGGGAAGGGAGGGAUGCAGUGGGGUGUCCGGAUCGGGGCUGCGGGCUGGGCGCCGCCCGGCCAUGCGCCUGCCCAGAAGGCUGGGCAUCCGUGGAGAGGGAAAGCCCAUUUUAUCCCUCUCUUUACAACGAGGUAAAAUAAGUUGUUUAGAGGCCAUUCUUCACGGAGACCGGCUGCCCGCUGGCGUCGCGUGCCCUUGGACAGAGCGAGCGCCUAUGCGAGAUAACUCCGGGGAAGCUCAAAGUCAGGUCAGCCGGGCUCAGCCUUCCGGCUCCUGACUGGCCGGAGUUUGGCCUUUGAGACUCAUAUUGCGCGCUCGCUCUCUCUCUCUCUUACACACACACACACAAACACACACACACUCACACUCACCCGUCCCCUUACGAAAUCUGACCUCUGUUUAUCAGGGUCAGGCGCGCCCUUUGCACUUUUACGUUUCCUUUAAUUAUUUCGGACUUGAUCGUGGCAGGGAGCAAGGGGGAAAAACAAUACCCCAGCCCUCACCAGCUACCCUCGAAGGGUUAAAUUUUAAACCGCGGUUUCUGGAACUAGUCCGGAAACGCAGAGUGGGGGGUGGGGUGGGGGAGGCUGCUCCCCCCACCCCCAGUUGCAAAUGCUAAUAAGUAGUUCAAAUUUCUAGAUUGAUUCUCUAAAAGUUUAUGCAAAAAAGAAAUAAAAAAGAAAAAGAAAAAAGAAGGAAACCAACAACUAACUCUGUUUCUAAGAUUUUAAAGCGAUAGGCAAGUCGAAGAAGCAGAGAUUUAUUUGGAGAGAAAGCUCCUGAAACCGACCCAGCCUUUGGAAGACCAGCCCGUCUGCUUAGAAGUUGGGACUGUUGAUUCCUUCAAUUAAUGAAAUGCAUUUGGUGUUUUUAAUCGUAUUUAUUUUACUUUAUGAGAAGGGGGAGACGCUAGGAGGGUGCAUUAAAAAAAAAAAAAAAUUCUGAAAAGCCUGCAAAAGGAUCGAAGAGUGGAAACUAUUGUUGGAGCGAGUUGGUUUUUACCUCAACAGCGCCACCUUUCGGCAAAGGUUUCUUCCUUGGAAAACAAUAUACAUCACUUAAUGAAAUCUUUGUUUGUUUUGCACAAGAGAUGUAAAAAAUCCAGAUGUUUUCUUCAGUGAGAAUUCCUGGGAAGGUGUACCAGCCUUCUUCUCUUUCUUCACCUGACAAAGACACCCAACACGGCCUCUCAGACCGGAGGUGUUUAAUAUAUAGUUUUGACACGCAUGAACAUGGGAAUGAAAGGGCUCCUUUUGGUUUUAGACAAUAGACAGAGCUAUAAAAUGAUGAUGGAGCCUGUUUUCCCCACUCUUGUCAUUUUAAGUCAAUAGAUUUCCUGGGUUUCUUCCCCCGCCCCCCCACUUUGCCUUUUCAGGGGAUAGGCAUCUCCUUAGAUUUUUGUUUUUCUUCACUUAGGGUCAGCUUUAUGAUUCGUUCUUCUGCUGUCAUCCUUUUUCAUCCUAUUCACAGCCUGUACCGGUGAGGGAAUUUGUCUCAAAAGCAUUCAGCCCUUCAAAGAUUUUUAUUGUGGUGAACUCAGAACUGAUAAACAGAAAAACAGAAACAGAAAAAGGGAACUGAUAUGGGGGCGAUCUUGAUGCGGGUUGUGUCUCUCAUGCAUGAUAACUCAGAGGACAGGCUCCUCGGUAGUGCGGUAGUGCUAACUCUGUGAAGUUUCUUCACCCUCCUUCCUAGCCCUGGAGGCGGGGUGAUUCAUAGCUCCUGUUCCAAAGGCAUUCAGCAGCCAUUCGACCUGGGAAAGAAACAGAGUUUUAGAAAAUACAGGCCAAAUGUAGAGACGCCUGUGAUUACCAGGAUGAGUAUGUCAGUGCAGGUGGCUUCUGAAUUUCUGUUUCUGAGUUUGUUUGGCUGAUGCCUAAGGAAAGGGGUCCCUUACAGCCCUGUUUUAUACCUUAGUUCUUGGUGGCAACGUGGGUGUUGCUGAUCUCUCUGAUGUGUUUUUCUGUGCACUGAAAACACCAGACAUGCUCCGUGACAUCCUCGGAGCAUCUCCCAUCAUAAUGGAGUGUUCCUAACCUGACAAAGAAUAGCAUAUUACCUCCCCAUCUACUCAAAAUAAAAUUAUAGUAAAAUUUA
Molecule: long non-coding RNA, 2486 nt
Filed under: Homo sapiens (human)
Lineage: Eukaryota; Metazoa; Chordata; Mammalia; Primates; Hominidae
Description: HSALNT0387071
Source: RNAcentral